Molecule: long non-coding RNA, 556 nt
Organism: Myzus persicae (green peach aphid)
Lineage: Eukaryota; Metazoa; Arthropoda; Insecta; Hemiptera; Aphididae
Exons: 3
Source: RefSeq, a predicted model, not a curated record
UGCGGCGCUGCUCAUUGCUCCUGUUCCCGCGAAUCGCUCUCUCACCGCGACGUUUCGCGGCGAACAUUCCGCACGGACUCUGUUGCAUGCGGUCUCGGAGAAGAGUCAUUUUCACCCGCCGCCACCACCGCCGCAGUCGAGCGUCCCCGCAAUCGCAAAAAGUUUUUUUUUUUUUUUUUAGUAUUUUUCGUUUAUCUUUGUUUUAACAUCUCUAACGGUUUUUUAAAAAUAAUUUUUAUUUUCGAGCAUUUUGUCGUUUUCCGACGAUCCUCCCCCACACGUCCCUUGCCCCGACGGCUUUAGGAUGUUUCGUUCUUUUUAUACUACAUAGACACGACAUCCGUCGUCUCUCGUCUCCGCGGGGAUCGGUUCAGAUUUGCACUACAAUUUUCGGUAAAGACCAAUGUAAUUUUCAAAAUCAAUUUUGGGCAGUGCUUUAUGUGACAUUAGUAUAAAUGGAAGAAUUUUCAAGAUGAUAAGCGAUUCAAUCGGUCAGUGUCGACCGAGUGUCAACCGAGUCACCGCGGACAACUGCGAAUGAAUUCUUCGUAGUAUG